Molecule: ribosomal RNA, 274 nt
Filed under: uncultured bacterium
Lineage: Bacteria
Description: partial 16S ribosomal RNA
Rfam family: Bacterial small subunit ribosomal RNA
Source: RNAcentral
AUACGUAGGGGGCAAGCGUUGUCCGGAAUUAUUGGGCGUAAAGAGCGCGUAGGCGGCUUUCCAAGUCCGGUGUGAAAUCUCAGGGCUUAACCCUGAGCCUGCAUUGGAAACUGGUUUGCUAGAGUUCGGUAGAGGAGAUUGGAAUUCCUGGUGUAGCGGUGAAAUGCGCAGAUAUCAGGAAGAACACCAGUGGCGAAGGCGGAUCUCUGGGCCGUAACUGACGCUGAGGCGCGAAAGCUAGGGGAGCAAACAGGAUUAGAUACCCCAGUAGUCC